RNAcentral lists this ribosomal RNA (2274 nucleotides) under Triticum aestivum (bread wheat). RNAcentral's name for it is "partial small subunit ribosomal RNA". The record is from RNAcentral. Lineage: Eukaryota; Viridiplantae; Streptophyta; Magnoliopsida; Poales; Poaceae.
AUGACAAGUGACAAGGGAAGGACUUCAAAGAAGGCCGCUGAGGGUUCACCCUCUGCUUUGGCUGUGCCUGAUGGAAGAGCCAGCAGUGGACCACAGAAGGGGCGGUUGUCCAAUGGGAGGACAACGGGUCCAGCAAGGCGCUCGACCAAAGGAAAUUGGACCCUGGAAGAGGACGAUAUACUUCGGAAGGCUGUUGAAAUCCACAAUGGGAAAAAUUGGAAAAAGAUAGCUGAGUGUUUUCCUGAUAGGACUGACGUUCAAUGCUUGCAUAGGUGGCAGAAGGUUUUGAAUCCUGAGCUAGUCAAAGGGCCAUGGUCUAAAGAAGAAGAUGACGUCAUUAUUCAGAUGGUAAAGAAAUAUGGACCCACGAAAUGGUCAACCAUCGCCCAAGCUUUGCCAGGACGCAUUGGGAAGCAAUGUCGGGAAAGGUGGCACAAUCACCUUAAUCCUGGUAUAAACAAAGAUGCAUGGACACAAGAAGAGGAGAUAAGGCUCAUUCAGGCUCAUCACAUAUACGGAAACAAAUGGGCUGAACUUUCAAAAUUUCUACCAGGAAGGACGGACAAUGCAAUAAAAAAUCAUUGGCACAGCUCAGUUAAGAAGAAAUAUGAAUCAUAUAGAGCAGAAGGAUUACUGGCUCAGUUCCAGGGCCUACCAGCUGUUGUAUGUCCUACAGGGAGUCUAAAUGUUGAUUCAUCAUCUGCAAUGAUGCAGCAAAACAGUGAUGGCAGUGGUUUGAAUGUUAAUCAGGAGGUACAAGAUUCCUCGGAGUUUAGCCAAUCAGCAUUGGCUAAUAUUUCUUCUUCUCAAGUGGAGCAAGUUGAUGAGCCUGUGGGCUGUCAUGGGCAAAUACAUUCCAAUGAUGGAGCACAUGACUCUUACUCUUCAUGUCAGGAAGCAUGCCAUACUAAAGCCAACGAUGCUGCCUCUACUUCACCAGAGACUCGUCACCAGUUGUCGAUCUCUGAAAAUGAUCCAGAUAUACACUGGCAGCAAGACCUUUCUGUAGCCGACUUCGAUCUUCAGUCAGAACUGUGGCAGGAUAUUUCUUAUCAGAGUCUUCUUACUGCACCAGACUCCAUCAAUGCUGUUUCUUUCUUCAGCCCAAAUUACCAGCAUAGUGCAUGCUCAUCUGAAGUUGCGAACAAUUUUGAAGAACGGCUUUAUCCAUUGCAUACAUACUCAUCAAGCAGGACAGGCACUGUGCAUCAUCAAAGUUCUGCAACAUCAGUACCUCCAUCCUUUCUUUGUUCAGGCCGUGCUAGCCAGAUUGUUUCCAGUGAACUGCCUAUAGUACCAGAAUCCAAAGAGCAACAGAUGACAAUCACAACCUUUGGAAUCUACAACCAUGGGAAGAGAAGCGUCACCAAACCAGGUAAAUCCGUGGUAGGACAAAAGCAGCAUUCAGAAGCUUUAUGCUAUGAACCUCCUUGCUUUCCAAGCCUCGAAGUUCCAUUUGUCAGCUGUGAGCUCAUAAGCUCGAGUGACCUGCCAGAAUAUAGUCCUCUUGGCAUUCGACAGUUGAUGAGGCCAUCCAUGAGCUUCUCCACUCCACUAAGAUUAUGGAGCUCCCCUACACGUGAUAGGAGUCCUGAUGAUGUGCUGAAAAGUGCUGCCAAAAGUUCUGCAUGCACACCGUCGAUAAUGAAGAAGCGGCAGAGAGAGCCCCCUUCUCCUAUUCCAGAUGUAUCCGCAGGGAUUCUUACUGAUAGGAAUUGUCCAAAUCCAGAACGUCGGAAGCUAAAUACCCCUACAAAAUCUUUUUCUAAAGACAUAAUAUCUUCUCGAUCAAAACCAACAGAACUUCUCGUUGAAAAAUCUUCAGUGUAUAUCAAUGCUGAUUAUGAGUAUGUAAACAUAUUGGCUGAUACCCCAGGAAUCAAAAGAGGGUUAGAAUCUCCUUCUGCAUGGAAGUCUCCUUUGUUCACAAACUUCCAGGAUGGGUUCUUCAUGAGCCCAACAGGCACAACUUUCGAUGCUCUAGGAUUGGUGAAGCAAAUAAAUGAGCAGAACGCUCCAGCUCUGGAGGAAGCGCAUGAACUACUGGAAAGUGGGAGCCGAUGUAACAUGGAAAGCUCUGAUAAGGAAAACAUAAAGCAUAUUGUUAUCAAGAAGGAACAUGUUACAACGAAUCAGAUAUCCAAUGUCAUGUCGGAAGCUAGGAUUCUUGAUUUCAACGAGUGCGCCACACCUGUGAAGAAGAAAGAAGACAACAGAUGCAACACUUUAGGAAGAUCUCCAACUUCCUCUUAUGUCUUGAAGAAUGUGCGGUAG